CUGGAAAUGAUCAUGCGAUAAGGAAUAAUGAAGCUGAUAAUUGCUCAGAAUACCGUCGCACUAUUGAUGCUGAGUUUGAAGAUAACAUACAACGCGACAAAGAUUCAAUUCACCCUGAAACGUCUCCGACAGAUUCUGUAGCAAUGAUGUCUGGACCGGCCCGAAGACUAUCAGAGUUUUUGAAACUACCACCUACACCACGACGUUCUACGAAGCAUCGUUAUUACUCGAAGCAGUAUUACCCAGUUUUAACAGCAAAGGAACGGCUUGAUGAAAUGCGGAAGAAAGAAGAUGAAAAACGUGUCAACGAAAACCUAAAAG
Aedes aegypti (yellow fever mosquito) is the source of this 321-nucleotide long non-coding RNA. RefSeq lists it as uncharacterized. The transcript is spliced from 2 exons. The record is from RefSeq and is a predicted model, not a curated record. NCBI's taxonomy places the organism in Eukaryota, Metazoa, Arthropoda, Insecta, Diptera, Culicidae.